Molecule: ribosomal RNA, 406 nt
Filed under: uncultured bacterium
Lineage: Bacteria
Description: partial 16S ribosomal RNA
Rfam family: Bacterial small subunit ribosomal RNA
Source: RNAcentral
AUUGAACGCUGGCUGCAGGCCUAACACAUGCAAGUCGAACGAGUGCCGCACGGGUGAGUAAUGUCUGGGAAACUGCCUGAUUUAGGGGGAUAACUACUGGAAACGGUAGCUAAUACCGCAUACCAUCAGAUGUGCCCAGAUGGGAUUAGCUAGUUGGUGGGGUAACGGCUCACCAAGGCGACGAUCCCUAGCUGGUCUGAGAGGAUGACCAGGCACACUGGAAUUGAGACACGGUACAGACUACAACGGGAGGCAGCGGAGGGGAAUAUUACACAAUGGGCGCAAGGCUGAUGCAGCCCUGCCGCGUGUAUGAAGAAGGCCUUCGGGUUGGAAAGUACUUUCAGCGGGGAGGAGGUACCAGAAGAAGAAGCACCGGCUAACUCCGUGCCAGCCGCCGCGGUAAUAC